UACUGAGGAGGGGUCCUCGUGGGCCUUUA
RNAcentral lists this small RNA (29 nucleotides) under Bombyx mori (domestic silkworm). Its description in RNAcentral is "ovarian small RNA-6189". The record is from RNAcentral. Lineage: Eukaryota; Metazoa; Arthropoda; Insecta; Lepidoptera; Bombycidae.